GCCGGAAUAGCUCAGUUGGGAGAGCGUUAUACUGAAGUUGUUUACGCAACGGUCAUCUAAAGGCACCCCGGUUCAAUCCCGGGUUCCCGUA
Molecule: transfer RNA, 91 nt
Filed under: Dreissena polymorpha
Lineage: Eukaryota; Metazoa; Mollusca; Bivalvia; Myida; Dreissenidae
Description: tRNA-Phe
Source: RNAcentral